This 504-nucleotide ribosomal RNA is filed under the name Chelonibia patula. RNAcentral describes it as "partial 16S ribosomal RNA". It matches the Rfam family "Bacterial large subunit ribosomal RNA", at positions 1913 to 2633 of the family's 2925-position model. The record is from RNAcentral. Lineage: Eukaryota; Metazoa; Arthropoda; Thecostraca; Balanomorpha; Chelonibiidae. RNAcentral also lists the same sequence under 1 other name.
UGAGAUUUAAAGAGCCGCAGUAUCCUGACUGUGCUAAGGUAGCAUAAUCAUUAGUCUUUUAAUUGGAGACUGGUAUGAAUGGUUAAACGAGAAAUCAACUUUUUUUGUUGUAAAGCUUGAAUUUAACUUUUUAGUGAAAAGGCUAAAAUUUUUCAAAAAGACGAGAAGACCCUAUAGAGUUUUAUAAUCAAGGGAAUAUUUCUUUCUUAGAUUUUUAUGAGAGGUAUUUACUGUAGUUAUUUUGUUGGGGCGACAUUUAGAUAUAAAAAACUCUUUAUUUUAAAAACUUUUAUGAAAGGUAAAUUGAUCCUUUAAAAAAGAUCAUAAGAAAAAAUUACCUUAGGGAUAACAGCGUAAUCUUUUUUGAGAGUUCUAAUCGACAAAAAGGUUUGCGACCUCGAUGUUGGACUAAAAUUAAGGCAGGGUGCAGCAGUUCUGCUAUAAGGUCUGUUCGACCUAUAAUUUUUUACACGAUCUGAGUUCAGACCGGCGUAAGCCAGGUUG